RNAcentral lists this transfer RNA (64 nucleotides) under Cryptorhynchinae sp. 7 ACP-2013. RNAcentral describes it as "tRNA-His". Lineage: Eukaryota; Metazoa; Arthropoda; Insecta; Coleoptera; Curculionidae. The record is from RNAcentral.
UAUCUAAAUAGUUUAUUUAAAAUUUUAAUUUGUGGAAUUAAAGAUAUACAAAAGUAUUUUAGAU